This is a long non-coding RNA of Gasterosteus aculeatus aculeatus (three-spined stickleback), 1885 nucleotides long. RefSeq lists it as uncharacterized. The record is from RefSeq and is a predicted model, not a curated record. NCBI's taxonomy places the organism in Eukaryota, Metazoa, Chordata, Actinopteri, Perciformes, Gasterosteidae.
UGCCUGCGACAUAAGCCACACGAGGGACAGAGAGGAAUCAUUUGGGACUAACUUUGGCCCGUGCUUUGUAUGCGUCUCUCACACGCAGUGUAAUUCAGUGCCGCCACAUCGCUGUAUUGUCGGCACCCUUUUGCUUCUUUAACAGGAUAACACAUUCCACGUGGGCUCCACCAGAGUAGACAGGCAGCAGAGAGGACGACGCUGUCAAGAGUCCGUCUCUCGGACUCUCUUGUCCUCGCUGGGAGGGCUGGUCUGACUCACCCGACCUCAAAGCCUCAGCAUGACCUUUGACCCUGCGGCGCCAUCACCUGCGCCGGAAUACGUGCAACUUCACGAGUGCACUACAGACCACUCGCAUCCACUUCCACUUUUGGCAACACAACUACAAAUAUUUCCAUAUGAGAUGAACACUGACAAUAGCCUGUGUGUGUGUGUGUGUGUGUGUGUGUGUGUGUGUGUGUGUGUGUGUGUGUGUGUGCGCACACGUUCGUAUCUGUCCAUCUAUCUUUGUGGGGACAAGCUACAGAUCUUCAGAGUUUUGGAAAGUCCUCACUUCUUCAAAGGGUUGUUUGAGGGUUCAGACUUGACUUAGAGUUUGGUGUGAGGGUACAAUGUGUGUGUGUGUGUGUGUGUGUGUGUGUGUGUGUGUGUGUCUGGCCCUCGGGUCACGAUGACACCACAUGGAACAACAGCAUAUUGUGUCUUCCUCUCUCAUAUUUCUCAUCAUCAGCACAGCCGCUGUCUGGAUUCCACCGGUGUGCCGGCAGCGUGGCGGAGGGACUCGGCCGUCGACCCCCAUCCUACAAUAAUAGGAAACACACCAUCACUUUUCCACGUUCUCCCUCACUUUUACCCGCCAAUCCCACAUACAUGAGUUCCUGUUUGGGGCUCACUUGCUCCUGACUUGAUUAUUUGUUUUGGAUAAAACGCUGCAUGCUUUCUUAUCCGAGAGGCUUUGUUGCUCAUGUGCUGCUGUUUUUCUGACAACGGAGGGAGGCUGCUACACAUGCUGUAGAUAAUAUAAUGUUGAAACCACCUCUUCUGUUUUAUGCUGCAUGUGUAUGAGUAUAUAUAUAUACAUAUAUAUAAUUAUCAAAUCUACUUUGAUAUGCUACACUACUCUCUCAUUUCGAGAGACGAUUCAUUUUUGUUCUUUUAUUUUUCCUCACGUUCCACUCUGGAAGACUAGAGAAUCCAUUUUUAAACCACCUGCAGACCUGUUUUUCUUCCUCGCCCAGUAAGGACAAGGUUUUUAUUAUUUCGUCCACCACAUUUAUGUCAAUGAAUGUAGGCGAAAUAAGAGUACAGAGUACAACACCCUACAGUCAAUCAACUUCUCUCUAAAACAGUUUCAAUAACAACCGAACCGUAUAAACAUUAUAACCUUAAUUACAGUUGCAUUCAACGUCAUCAGUUAAGCUCAGACUUCUAGUAAACUAACUUCUCAUAUAAGUCUGUAUUUGUUUAUUCACAGCGUGGGAGGAGAUAACGUUGUGUACUUGGUUGACCACUAGAUGGCCACAGAGACUAAAGUAUUACUAAACUUUGACUAAAAGUCUAAGACGCUUAACUCGACGGUUUAAAGGGACGUGUUCAUCGUCAUAGUUCCCCAUGACCCCUGUCAUUAUGCCAUCUGUAUUAAAAGUAAAAAAUAUUUUACAUUACAAAAAAACAACAGAACAGCGGAAGCCACUGUGUAAAUGUUUCACCAGGUGUACAGUUUAAUUACAGUACAAUAGUUGCAAAAAUACAAUUUAAAACAAAUCAACAAGACAAAGCACACUUUAGACAAACAAGCAAGUGCUUUCCAUCUAUGAAAAGAGAGAAUGAGACGUUGCUUAGCCCAUAUAUUUCAUCUUGUGCUGUUUAUGAAAUGUAAAAAAAA